GACGAACGCUGGCGGCGUGCUUAACACAUGCAAGUCGAACGGUAAGGCCCUUCGGGUACACGAGUGGCGAACGGGUGAGUAACACGUGGUGAUCUGCCCUGCACUUCGGAUAAGCCUGGGAAACUGGGUCUAAUACCGGAUAGGACCAUGGACUUCACGGUUUGUGGUGGAAAGCUUUUGCGGUGUGGGAUGGGCCCGCGGCCUAUCAGCUUGUUGGUGGGGUAAUGGCCUACCAAGGCGACGACGGGUAGCCGGCCUGAGAGGGUGUCCGGCCACACUGGGACUGAGAUACGGCCCAGACUCCUACGGGAGGCAGCAGUGGGGAAUAUUGCACAAUGGGCGCAAGCCUGAUGCAGCGACGCCGCGUGAGGGAUGACGGCC
Molecule: ribosomal RNA, 381 nt
Filed under: uncultured bacterium
Lineage: Bacteria
Description: bacterial SSU rRNA
Rfam family: Bacterial small subunit ribosomal RNA
Source: RNAcentral